UCUGAAAGGAUUAAUUAAAAAAAAGAAAAAAAAACAUAAAUAGUCGUCAUCUCACACAGACAGUGGAUAGAAUACAAAAAGUUUGGUUAUGUAUACAAAGACUAUGGUUAACCUCACAAUAUGGAAUUUGUUUGUAAAGUUUUUGAUAUGGAUUUUAUUAAUAUCUUUAUAUUGUGAUGUGUUUUUAAACAAAUUAAUAUUAAAUUACCUAAAGUAUUAUGAA
Episyrphus balteatus (marmalade hoverfly) is the source of this 223-nucleotide long non-coding RNA. RefSeq lists it as uncharacterized. The transcript has 2 exons. The record is from RefSeq and is a predicted model, not a curated record. Lineage: Eukaryota; Metazoa; Arthropoda; Insecta; Diptera; Syrphidae.